GGGUCGGGGAGAGAGGGUCAGCACUCCCCUCGCAGGGCGGGAGCACGCCCUUGGGCCUGACAGCACACAGUUCGGGCAUCGCCCACCCACCCACUCGGUGGCACGGAACCGUGGUUUUUAU
Phyllostomus discolor (pale spear-nosed bat) is the source of this 121-nucleotide small nuclear RNA. NCBI's taxonomy places the organism in Eukaryota, Metazoa, Chordata, Mammalia, Chiroptera, Phyllostomidae. The record is from RefSeq and is a predicted model, not a curated record.